GAUGAACGCUGGCGGCGUGCUUAACACAUGCAAGUCGAACGGGAAACCUUUUAUUGAAGCUUCGGCAGAUUUAGCUGGUUUCUAGUGGCGGACGGGUGAGUAACGCGUGGGUAACCUGCCCUAUACAGGGGGAUAACAACCAGAAAUGGUUGCUAAUACCGCAUAAGCGCACAGGGCCGCAUGGUCCGGUGUGAAAAACUCCGGUGGUAUAGGAUGGACCCGCGUUGGAUUAGCCAGUUGGCAGGGUAACGGCCUACCAAAGCGACGAUCCAUAGCCGGCCUGGGAGGGUGAACGGCCACAUUGGGACUGAGACACGGCCCAGACUCCUACGGGAGGCAGCAGUGGGGAAUAUUGCACAAUGGGGGAAACCCUGAUGCAGCGACGCCGCGUGAAGGAAGAAGUAUCUCGGUAUGUAAACUUCUAUCAGCAGGGAAGAUAGUGACGGUACCUGACUAAGAAGCCCCGGCUAACUACGUG
RNAcentral lists this ribosomal RNA (478 nucleotides) under uncultured bacterium. RNAcentral describes it as "partial 16S ribosomal RNA". It matches the Rfam family "Bacterial small subunit ribosomal RNA", at positions 28 to 507 of the family's 1533-position model. The record is from RNAcentral.